Long non-coding RNA from Oryzias melastigma (Indian medaka), 349 nucleotides. RefSeq lists it as uncharacterized. The record is from RefSeq and is a predicted model, not a curated record. NCBI's taxonomy places the organism in Eukaryota, Metazoa, Chordata, Actinopteri, Beloniformes, Adrianichthyidae. The transcript has 3 exons.
CGAAAUAAAAGACGUUUGAACUAUUUCAGAAUACGUCCUUUCUUCUAAGGAAGCAGUCAGGUUUGAUCCCAGCAGGUGUUUUCUGUCGCAGGAGUGGACCCCGGCCUUCGCUCCUUCAGAGCAUCAGCGAUGGUGAUGUUGGACGGCGUGGCGUAGAUGUCAUCGCGUGACGGAGCGGUGAUGACGAUGAGAGGCGUACGCUCAGCAGUCUGGACCGCCUCCAUCUCAGUGUUGGGCUGUGACGAGAGGGGACUCUCUGACACUGAGAGACGGGGAAGAACCGCAAGAUGUUGAGCUUUUUAAACAGGAGAGCGUCCUUCAUCACCUCGUCAAACUCCUCCCCCUCGUU